ACAUCGCGUCGCCACACCUCGACUCUCCUCCGCUCUUCCCCGCUCUCCCCAUCUGACCCCCCUCCUGCCUACUGCCUCCUCUCUCCUCGUCCGCUGUGCUGCGUCGUUUCUUUUGGCUUGUCGCUUCUUUAUGUGGCGAUGUCCGGGUUGCUGUUUCCAUCGCUUCGGUGUCUUCCUGCUGUGCCUGUGGAUUAUAAGAGGACCCUCGUUCUCUACGUGGUGCUCCAGUUCGUGGCGUUUAUUCUGUUGCUGGUGGGAACGCCGCUGGACAUUUUCCGCUCAAGACCUGCUGGGAUGUCGAAGACGCUAAUUUGUAUCACCUUGUGGGGUUUCAAGAACGACUGCUCAUCACUUCAUUCUGACCUCACGUUGGACGAUAUAUUUCAUUACUGCCCUGAUCGACUAAGGCGUUUUCGUGCUCUGCAGAUAUUCGUGAUUGUCUCUAUCGUCGUGUACGGCGCUGCGUUUAUCGCGGGCUUUACUUUACUGUUCUGCUUCGCUGUCUUGCGCCUUACCUGCAUGGCGCUCAACAUCGUUGGCAGUGUAAUUUUAUGCGUUGCGAUAGUAAUCGUGGCUGCCACGUUCAGCAAGGACGAUGGCCAACAUUGCAUGCGACUUAGCAGUAUAGGGUAUAGACUCGGUGCGAGCUUUUUUCUUUUUUUGGUGGCCUGGAUACUGGAUAUCAUCAACAUGAUCAUCCUCCUGCUCCCCUAUACCGACACCGAGAGUGCUGUUGAUAAAAAGGCAGAGCCACCGACAGCGCAGGAGUAGGAUGGAGGCAGUAGGAGGGAGCGGGUAGCGCGGUUGAGAGCGGAGCUGUCCCUCUCCCACACCAGCGUCCUCGUGGUGGAGCUGGUGUCGGCGAGGAUGAGGGUGCGCAAGCUGCGGGUUCCCGUGUGUGCCCUUCGCCGGCCCAGCCCUCUCGCUCCCUGUCGUGUGUGCGUGCGCGUGCGCGGGCAGCAGCGGCACCGCCGUGCACAGGCACCGCUGCCGAGGGGCGAUUGCAGCACUUCCCCCAUGCCUGCGUGUGAUACACGGCGGCUGCGUGUGUGCAGGCGCAUGCGCCCCUGCGACCCUCCUCCCUCUUCUUCCGUGAGCGGCCCCCGCGACCAUCGCUCACUUACGCUGCCGUUGUUCGCGGGUGCCGCCCCACGCUCUCGCCUUACUCGACGCUCGUCUCUUUCGAGCUCGCUCAUGCUUGCUGUUCUGCUCUGCGCGCAGAGAGAGGUGCGUGGUGUGUGCGUGUGCGUGCGCCUCUGCGCCUCCCUCCGCUGCUCGCGCCCUCCCUGUGUGCGUGUGCUGGCGGAGGCGGCUGGCUGUGGCGACGACGCAGGCACGUGCAGCAGCCGUGCAGCACAGCAGGCGCGUACACGCAUACACACCUAUACACGCGGGAACGGGACUGCAGGCGAGGGGCAGGACCGGAGAAUGCGCGGCGACACGAGCGAGUGCGACGGUGGAGCGAAGCAGCGGCGGCGCUGCUUUCCUGCUCGCUCCUCUGGCGUCUGGCUCGAGCCCGUCUGCGUGUGCGCCCCCUGUGUCGCUGUGUCUCCUCGCCUCUCUCCUGCGCGAUUUGUUUCGAUGGCUUCGUUGCUGACGCACCCCACGGAGUCCUCCAGGCUCCGCCGUGUGGAGUUGCCACGCCGUAUGUGACGGGUUGCAGCGCACCGACGCGACUGUGGGGAGAGAAGCACUGCAUCCAGGUCGACUACACUGCAGGGCCUCACAGGGCCCUGACCGGAGGCUGGGCAGCAUUCUCCCUCGGCUCGUGCGGCACGUAGAGCCACCGCUCCCCACGAACGCCCUGCUACCCUUUGCUACCCCUCCCCACCGACGGAGGCCAGCGCCUCCGUCAUGGAGCACGACCCUGAGGGGGCGGCCCCGCUGGGAGCGCGGCGUGCCGUGCGCCCCGGUGCGUGUGGCGCCGAUGCAGCGGCAGGACGGCUCGUCCUCGACGACGCAGAUGUGGCCGCCGUGCCACAGGGCGUAGGCGGGCCGUGGCUGUACGCGCGCAUCUGCCGGCUUGUGCGUGGUGGCGUGGAGGCGGUGAGAAGGAAGUGCAUGCCUCGCGGACUCGGACAGACAUGCGAAUCAGCACACCUAAACAUAAGCAAAACGACGCGUGCAUAUAUGCACCGAUAUCUAUAUCUAUAUAUAUAUAUAUAUGGCUGUGCGGAUGUCUGUAACGACAAAACCGCCAAACGCCUGUUAUUACGCUGUCCUCGCCUGGCAGGGCGGAGGGCGUGCGUGCGCUUUUUACUCCUCUCUUGCUUGUCCUGUGUUUCCUUUGCGGCACGCCUUCCUGCGCGCGUGCCUGCUCGUUAUCAUGCUUGCUUCCGUUGUCCG
RNAcentral lists this unclassified non-coding RNA (2346 nucleotides) under Leishmania donovani. RNAcentral's name for it is "gene:unknown". The record is from RNAcentral. Lineage: Eukaryota; Euglenozoa; Kinetoplastea; Trypanosomatida; Trypanosomatidae.